AGUGAACGCUGGCGGUAGGCCUAACACAUGCAAGUCGAACGGCAGCACAGUAAGAGCUUGCUCUUACGGGUGGCGGGUGGCGGACGGGUGAGGAAUACAUCGGAAUCUACUUUUUCGUGGGGGAUAACGUAGGGAAACUUACGCUAAUACCGCAUACGACCUACGGGUGAAAGCAGGGGAUCUUCGGACCUUGCGCGAUUGAAUGAGCCGAUGUCGGAUUAGCUAGUUGGCGGGGUAAAGGCCCACCAAGGCGACGAUCCGUAGCUGGUCUGAGAGGAUGAUCAGCCACACUGGAACUGAGACACGGUCCAGACUCCUACGGGAGGCAGCAGUGGGGAAUAUUGGGCAAUGGGCGCAAGCCUGAUCCAGCCAUACCGCGUGGGUGAAGAAGGCCUUCGGGUUGUAAAGCCCUUUUGUUGGGAAAGAAGAGCAGCAGGUUAAUACCCCGCUGUUAUGACGGUACCCAAAGAAUAAGCACCGGCUAACUUCGUG
RNAcentral lists this ribosomal RNA (492 nucleotides) under uncultured bacterium. RNAcentral describes it as "partial 16S ribosomal RNA". It matches the Rfam family "Bacterial small subunit ribosomal RNA", at positions 29 to 507 of the family's 1533-position model. The record is from RNAcentral.